This 74-nucleotide transfer RNA is filed under the name bacterium. RNAcentral describes it as "tRNA-Arg". It matches the Rfam family "tRNA". From Rfam's summary of the family: Transfer RNA (tRNA) molecules are approximately 80 nucleotides in length. The record is from RNAcentral. RNAcentral also lists the same sequence under 1 other name.
GCGCCCAUAGCUCAACUGGAUAGAGCGUCUGGCUACGGACCAGAAGGUUGGGGGUUCGAAUCCUCCUGGGCGUA